This 166-nucleotide ribosomal RNA is filed under the name uncultured bacterium. RNAcentral's name for it is "partial 16S rRNA". It matches the Rfam family "Bacterial small subunit ribosomal RNA", at positions 355 to 511 of the family's 1533-position model. The record is from RNAcentral.
UAGGGAAUCUUUCCACAAAUGGACGCAAGUCUGAUGGAGCAACGCCGCGUGAGUGAAGAAGGGUUUCGGCUCGUAAAGCUCUGUUGUUAAAGAAGAACGUGGGUAAGAGUAACUGUUUACCCAGUGACGGUAUUUAACCAGAAAGCCACGGCUAACUACGUGCCCG